Molecule: ribosomal RNA, 392 nt
Filed under: uncultured Chrysophyceae
Lineage: Eukaryota; Chrysophyceae
Description: partial small subunit ribosomal RNA
Rfam family: Eukaryotic small subunit ribosomal RNA
Source: RNAcentral
GCUUGUCUCAAAGAUUAAGCCAUGCAUGUCUAAGUAUAAACAACUUUAUACUGUGAAACUGCGUACAGCUCAUUAUAUCAGUUAUAAUUUAUUUGAUGGUGAUUUACUACAUGGAUAACCGUGGUAAUUCUAGAGCUAAUACAUGCGUAAGAUCCUGACUAACGAAGGGACGUAUUUAUUAGAUUGAAACCAAUGCGGGUUCGCCCGGUAUUUGGUGAUUCAUAAUAACUUUCGGAUCGACUUCGGUCGAUGCAUCAUUCAAGUUUCUGCCCUAUCAGCUUUGGAUGGUAGGGUAUUGGCCUACCAUGGCUUUAACGGGUAACGGAGAAUUAGGGUUCGAUUCCGGAGAGGGAGCCUGAGAAAUGGCUACCACAUCCAAGGAAGGCAGCAGG